This 506-nucleotide ribosomal RNA is filed under the name Bacillus pumilus. RNAcentral describes it as "bacterial SSU rRNA". It matches the Rfam family "Bacterial small subunit ribosomal RNA", at positions 22 to 511 of the family's 1533-position model. Lineage: Bacteria; Bacillati; Bacillota; Bacilli; Caryophanales; Bacillaceae. The record is from RNAcentral.
GCUCAGGACGAACGCUGGCGGCGUGCCUAAUACAUGCAAGUCGAGCGGACAGAAGGGAGCUUGCUCCCGGAUGUUAGCGGCGGACGGGUGAGUAACACGUGGGUAACCUGCCUGUAAGACUGGGAUAACUCCGGGAAACCGGAGCUAAUACCGGAUAGUUCCUUGAACCGCAUGGUUCAAGGAUGAAAGACGGUUUCGGCUGUCACUUACAGAUGGACCCGCGGCGCAUUAGCUAGUUGGUGGGGUAAUGGCUCACCAAGGCGACGAUGCGUAGCCGACCUGAGAGGGUGAUCGGCCACACUGGGACUGAGACACGGCCCAGACUCCUACGGGAGGCAGCAGUAGGGAAUCUUCCGCAAUGGACGAAAGUCUGACGGAGCAACGCCGCGUGAGUGAUGAAGGUUUUCGGAUCGUAAAGCUCUGUUGUUAGGGAAGAACAAGUGCGAGAGUAACUGCUCGCACCUUGACGGUACCUAACCAGAAAGCCACGGCUAACUACGUGCCAG